Molecule: long non-coding RNA, 1523 nt
Filed under: Homo sapiens (human)
Lineage: Eukaryota; Metazoa; Chordata; Mammalia; Primates; Hominidae
Description: LHRI_LNC1688.8
Source: RNAcentral
GUGAGCCAGCCAGGAGUGAAGACGACAGGUUUGCUGUCUCCUUUGCCUGUGGGUCUGGGGCCCCAGCCUGGGGGAGACCCGUGACUCCAGGCAUGCUAUCAGGACAACUUCAACCCGAGGGGAGAUCAGCUCUCCCGCAACCUGGUGCCGCUCUCUGACAGCACAACAGAACCUAAGGGGCUACAGGAUGAUUCAAGGAACAGUGUGCUACAGGACCUCGCAAGAAGACCCUCACCAGAUGCAGCCCCUCUAUGUUGGACUUCCCAGCCUCCGGAAGUUAGAAAUGUGCUACAACCACUCAAGGUCUGCAAACAGAUUCCUAUUUAGAUGUUGUUGAGAGCUGAAUUUCUGGAACAAGAGAUAUAGAUUAAGACUGUUGUUACAUGUUGCCUACAUGACUUUCAAAAGCUUGAUUCCCAGUGGCGCUCUCAACAGCAGUCAUAAACAAUGAUAGGAGAAAUGGCUACCUUUAUUUUGUUAAACUGGAGAUUGGCAGCUAUGACUGAGGACUUGCAAAAGCGGAAACAGGGACUUCUCAGUGAGGUCAAUAUUUGGAGGAAAUAUGUAUAGAAACUGAAGAUCUGUCUGAGUUUACCCCUGAGGUACAUUAUAGCAUACAUGAGUUUGAAUAUUUAUUCUUUAAUGUACAUAUUUGGUUAUGGAGUUGUUUAAGCAUCAGCUGUUUGGAAAUUCUGCUUUGCCAAGAUAUUUCUAACUUGCUUUUUAGAACAGUUGUAACAUUUUACAUUUCCAUAGCUCCCUUGGCUUCACAUGAUUGAGUAAUACUUUAAAUCAGAUUGUAAAUGUAUUACGCAGUGGUUUUAAUUUCCUGAUUAGUAAUGAGAUUGUAACUGAACUCAGGUUCAGUUGUUUGCCAAUUGAAAGCCAAAACUUGAGAGGCAAGCGUUGGUGGAAGAGAAAAGCAGGUUUAUUCAGGACCUGACAAUCCAAGGAGAUGGUGGACUUGCAUAGCAAAGACCAUCUCAAGUUUCUCAGCCUGGACAUAGGGGUUUUAAAGGGGAAAGGGCUUGGGAAACUAUGUGCAGGAGUUAGCUAUGCAUUUCAGAAUGUCUUUUUCCAACGACUGUCAUGAGGAAUGGGCAUCAAGAGGUGUAGCUGGCAUCAUCCAACCUCUAAUAAGAUUGAAGAUUAACUGCUCAGUAUUUUUUUUCCAUUAAGAACAUUUCACAGCCUUGGUUUUAUCUUGGGGUUAGUUCUUGGAAUUCUUAAGCAAGCACACAAUUAGGUAUCGUAAAAGAAAGAAUAGUUAUUUGUUUCCAAAAUGGAAUGACUGCAUCAGUUACAAGAUGAUCACCUUUAUAUGUUAUUGCUAUUCAGAUUUUCUCUUCCAUAAAAUACUUGUUUGCAUCUUUUGCCUGCAGUUUAAUUGGGUGGUUUGACAUUUUGGUUUAUAUGAAUUUCUUAAUAUGUUAUGGACAUUAAUCCUACACUGGUUUUUUAUGUUGCAAAGAUCUGCUCUCAGCGUGAAAAUUCUUUUUAUGGCGUCUUUUGAUGAUGAAAAG